GCAAACUUGGUCAUUUAGAGGAAGUAAAAGUCGUAACAAGGUUUCCGUAGGUGAACCUGCGGAAGGAUCAUUAGCCAUUGGUGGGGGAGACUAUUCUCCUGCAUGUUAUGUAUGGGGGAGACUAUUCUCCUGCAUGUUAUGUAUGGGGGAGACUAUUCUCCUGCAUGUUAUGUAUGGGGGAGACUAUUCUCCUGCAUGUGUAAUCACACACAUUUACGCUUGCGUGUCUUGACAGGUUGAUAGUGAUGAUAUACCAUUACUUUUAUUGCUUUUAUUGCUUUUAACAAUGGAUCUCUGGGCUCCUGCAUCGAUGAAGAACGCAGC
This 324-nucleotide unclassified non-coding RNA is filed under the name uncultured fungus. RNAcentral describes it as "partial contains small subunit ribosomal RNA, internal transcribed spacer 1, and 5.8S ribosomal RNA". The stretch from base 1 to 73 matches the Rfam family "Eukaryotic small subunit ribosomal RNA", at positions 1759 to 1831 of the family's 1831-position model. The record is from RNAcentral. Lineage: Eukaryota; Fungi.